RNAcentral lists this ribosomal RNA (486 nucleotides) under uncultured bacterium. Its description in RNAcentral is "partial 16S ribosomal RNA". It matches the Rfam family "Bacterial small subunit ribosomal RNA", at positions 30 to 507 of the family's 1533-position model. The record is from RNAcentral.
AUUGAACGCUGGCGGCAUGCCUUACACAUGCCAGUCGAACGGCAGCACGGGUGCUUGCACCUGGUGGCGAGUGGCGAACGGGUGAGUAAUACAUCGGAACAUGUCCUGUAGUGGGGGAUAGCCCGGCGAAAGCCGGAUUAAUACCGCAUACGAUCUACGGACGAAAGCGGGGGACCUUCGGGCCUCGCGCUAUAGGGUUGGCCGAUGGCUGAUUAGCUAGUUGGUGGGGUAAAGGCCUACCAAGGCGACGAUCAGUAGCUGGUCUGAGAGGACGACCAGCCACACUGGGACUGAGACACGGCCCAGACUCCUACGGGAGGCAGCAGUGGGGAAUUUUGGACAAUGGGCGAAAGCCUGAUCCAGCAAUGCCGCGUGUGUGAAGAAGGCCUUCGGGUUGUAAAGCACUUUUGUCCGGAAAGAAAUCCUUGGCCCUAAUACGGUCGGGGGAUGACGGUACCGGAAGAAUAAGCACCGGCUAACUACGUG